GUGUCUGAGCUGUGCUGCAGUUUGGGUGCUGCCCGUGACUUUUGGGCUGUUGCUGUGAGUAAUUCCGUGAAGGGGUGUAACUUUUUUGAGCCAAAGGUCCUGUCCCUUAUUUAUCACUCUCAUCUUCCUUUGGAAACUGCUGGGAGGCUGGACUAGUUUUCAGGAUUAAAAGCUGCUGAACAGCACAUCCUCUGCCUCCCAGCCCCUCCUUUGUGGGACUCCAAGGCUGCCGCCAGCACCAGGCCAUGCAGGAUGUCUCCCUGUGAAUGACACCCGUGGCAGAUGAAUGAAAAGGUAGCUGACAACCUUGAAGUCCUCACCUCCAGUCAGGCGUUGAAUUCUGCUGAAUUGUUUUUUCUCGAGGUAAAAGCAGCAAAUGUUGUCUUAAACUGUAAUCCCUGCAUUUGUGGGGAAAUACAGGAGGGUGAAAGCAGGACCUACCCGAAGACACCACUUACAGUGGCAAUUUUACACUUGCACACUGAUUUCUAGGGAAGGGAAUAACUUUGAGUGCUCUGCCAGUUUGACAGCAGUGUUUCCUGGUAAAGGCAUCAGCUCUGAGGUAGGGAUCGCUUUCUUCCUUUCAUUUCGGACGCUGAAAGUUUUGGCCACUGUUUAGUGAAUCACAUUUCAAUCUGCGGCUGUAUUGAGUUGGUGCUGAAGUAGCAGCUCAGCGAUUCUCCUGAUGAUCCAGGCAGACUGGGACUUCUGCAGAGCUACCCCAGGCAGUGACAUGGAGCUGACACAGCAGGGAACGCAGGGGAGAAGGAGCUGAGGCUGGGCACUGGUGUCGUGGUCCAGGAAACACUUAAUUUCUUCAAAACACCAUUAACAAAGCAUGUGAUAACUCCCAGCUAUAUUCCUGAUCAACACUAGAUGUUGCUGUGCCGCUGCUCAUAUAAACUAUACAUUAGCAAGGUUUUUAUACUGUAUUUACCGCAAUUUCCUCUUUCCUGUUUCUGUUAGUCACUAUAUCCUGACACUAUAGGCUGGGGAAGUGGUUACUUUAAUUUACUUUUCUUUCAAAGUUUCAACUUUAUUUGGAUAAUAUCGAGUUUACAAUUCCCCUUCGAAUGCACAUGUAAAACUUUACAAGAAAAAGAGACUCUUCGAAUGCUAACAUGAGGCAACUCCUAUAUGAAUGUCAAAUAUUUACUCAACUCUGCUUCUGGAUUUUUUGCAAUCCAAGGGGAAUGACAUUGUUAACUGGACGAUUCCGGGAACAGACUGACAGCUGCAAGGCCACGGAGGGAAGUUUGUUUAUAAGGGGACAAAAAAAAAUAUAUAAAAAAAUUUAAAAAAAAAGUUUAGUCCUGCUGAGUUUCAGGCUUUCUACUCCCACAUGUUUGAGUGGGAGAAAGGACAAAUCUUAGGACGUUGAUUUCCCCAUGGCAACAGAAAACGGAAAUUACUUUAACCCCUUCUAGUGACAGAUGACUCAUUGCUCAGCCUGCUGCUAUUUUCCAAGCACUAAAACAAUACAGCUGCAAAGAAAAGGCCAGCCUGUAUUAUCUCAUAGGCUGAGCACCAGGCCCGUGGGAGAGGGCAGUUCUCUGGCUGCCUUUCUGUCGAAGAAAGGCAGAGCUGGAGCCUUUGGGUUGUUCUCUCAUUGUGUAAAGCAAGUGUGUGCUCUCCGUCCCCGCGCUGCUGGAGGGAGAAGCUGGGUGUCCCCAGGAUGGAGGAGAUGCAGCGUGGGAGGAGGGGCUGGUGGGUGUCCUAUUGCUUGGUCCUGCUCACUCUGCAUAUCAUGGGAUGGGUGGGUUGGAAGGGAUCCUAAAGAUCAUCUCCUUUCAGCCAUAGGCAGGGACAACCUCCACUAGAACAGGCUGCUCCAAGCCCCCUCCAAUCUAUCCAGGGAUGGGGCAGCUCCUCUGGGCAACCUGUGCCCCACCACCCUCACAAAGAACCUUUUUCUGGUAUAUAGUCUAAAUCUCUCCUCUUUCAGUUUCAAACUGUUCCCCUUGUCCCAUCUUGCACCCAGGGACCUGGCAGGACAUUGCCAAGCUUUCAGUUUAAGUGCAGGAAUGCGUCCUUCCCAAAUGCAGCCUGCUGAGGGGCAGCAGGGAUGAGCAGGGUUUCCAGGCCCCUAUGCAUCAAAAAGAGAGCUGGUGGCAGAAGUGAAUUCUGUCUUGCUGGGGAGGUGAUAACAAAUUCCCUCAGGGUGUGCUGUAAUGGGAAUAUUCAUCUUUGAAAGCUUAUUAUGGGUGAAAGGUUGGUACCCUCUCUUCCUGCUGGUUUUCCCAAAUCCUAGUAAGGAUUCUGCAAGGCUCAGAAGUGAGGCUGGUAAAGGCUUUCUGAGCCUAAGGUUCAUUUUGUGCAUAAGAUAUCACACCAUUGCAUGGGGGAGAUAUAAUGAGAUGAGAGACUGAAUAACUGGUCAGUUAACAUCACUUUAUUCACCACAAACUGGGAUCAGACGUCACACUAUUAGGAAAUCCAGGAUCCCAGGAAAACUGCGCAGUGGGACGGUGUCACAGGAGACGUGAAUCAUCUUCUUUCAGGGAAAGACAGGCUGAACUGCUGGUACAACAGCUGAGUCUUUACUCAGUCCUGUCAUUUGUAUGCUGCUAUGAUUGCCCUUCUCUUUCUAAUAGCAGAAAAUCAGGUCCACAAGGUUCUGUUUGGACAGCAUAAUUAACAAAAAGGACAGCUCCAUUACCAGGUUGUUCUGGGAACCAAAAUCUGCCUUAGCGGCACAAAGAUUAUCUUCCUGCAGGAAUCAACACACACCAACGUGAGCUGCUGGCUAAACCCAGACCUUGAAUGAGGGCUCCAGCAGCACAGUGCUCUCUGUUUGUUAUCUGGGAACACCCUGGGGCUGGCUACAGCUGUCCCAAAGCUGUCAUGCCAUCAGCAGCUGGACCAGGCUGCUCAGGCCAGCGCUGAUUGCUGGAGAACGAACCCACCCAGGUUCUGUCGGGGAGGUGCUGCUGGGCUCCGAGGUGUUAUAUUAUUCUGAUAAGAUUUUCUCACAGUUCUGCUCAGUGCUCUCCUACAAGGCAAAAUGUCCCCUCCCAAAACUGCAAGAGCCCUGUGAAACUGCCAGCUGUGGGGAGGGAGAACCAGAGAUCACCACAUCUUACUCUUGAAACAGAAAUUACAACUAUUUCUGUCUAAGCUUACAGCAGCCUAGUAGAGCCAGAGAAAGAUGUGGGAAAUCAGAUUAAAUUCUGCCUCUUGAGACUCCAUCCUUCAGCAUUCUGGUUUAGAAGCCCAUGAGUUAUGACACUGAACAAAAAGACUCUUCCUUUCAGAGAAGAAACAAUUGCCACAAUGUCCAUGUAGAAAAUGAGAAUAACAGUUCUAAUAUAGGUUUUUCUGCUUUAGUGCUCUCUCCACUUCUUUACCUAGAAAAUGGCUGUAUUACCUGGAAAAAAAAAAAAAGUGUAUUUUGCUGCUUGAAGGGGAAAGAGCUAAUUAAAUUUGUAAAAGCGGAUAAUAAUGUUAA
This is a long non-coding RNA of Hirundo rustica (Barn swallow), 3448 nucleotides long. RefSeq lists it as uncharacterized. The record is from RefSeq and is a predicted model, not a curated record. Lineage: Eukaryota; Metazoa; Chordata; Aves; Passeriformes; Hirundinidae. The transcript has 5 exons.